UAGGGAAUUUUUCACAAUGAGCGAAAGCUUGAUGGAGCAAUGCCGCGUGAACGAUGAAGGUCUUUAAGAUUGUAAAGUUCUUUUAUUUGGGAAGAAUGACUUUAGCAGGUAAUGGCUAGAGUUUGACUGUACCAUUUUGAAUAAGUGACGACUAACUAUGUGCCAGCAGUCGCGGUAAUACAUAGGUCGCAAGCGUUAUCCGGAUUUAUUGGGCGUAAAGCAAGCGCAGGCGGAUUGAAAAGUCUGGUGUUAAAGGCAGCUGCUUAACAGUUGUAUGCAUUGGAAACUAUUAAUCUAGAGUGUGGUAGGGAGUUUUGGAAUUUCAUGUGGAGCGGUGAAAUGCGUAGAUAUAUGAAGGAACACCAGUGGCGAAGGCGAAAACUUAGGCCAUUACUGACGCUUAGGCUUGAAAGUGUGGGGAGCAAAUAGGAUUAGAUACCCUAGUAGUCCACACCGUAAACGAUAGAUACUAGCUGUCGGGGCGAUCCCCUCGGUAGUGAAGUUAACACAUUAAGUAUCUCGCCUGGGUAGUACAUUCGCAAGA
RNAcentral lists this ribosomal RNA (544 nucleotides) under uncultured bacterium. RNAcentral's name for it is "bacterial SSU rRNA". It matches the Rfam family "Bacterial small subunit ribosomal RNA", at positions 355 to 893 of the family's 1533-position model. The record is from RNAcentral.